This is an RNA transcript of Planococcus citri (citrus mealybug), 2348 nucleotides long. It is a transcript of the gene named onchocystatin-like, with no coding region annotated. The transcript is spliced from 8 exons. NCBI's taxonomy places the organism in Eukaryota, Metazoa, Arthropoda, Insecta, Hemiptera, Pseudococcidae. The record is from RefSeq and is a predicted model, not a curated record.
AACUCGGCUUGCGAUAAUUAUUCGUAACAUGGAAGAUUUCUGAGACAAACCGUCUAAGAAAAGUUCUGUUAAUCAAGCUAACUAUAACGCAUUUUUGCAUACACACGCUAGUAUAGUGACUCACGUAAUCGUGUUGGCGAAUAUACUCGACGCGAUAAAUCAUCCUUUCGCCACCUAUCACAGUCAAAGGAUUAUAAUUUUUCAUAUUUUUCAUUUCGUGGAAAAAUGAAUUUUUUCAUUUGCGUGUAUUUAAAAUGUUUAAUUCCAUUUAUGAUUGUGCAAUUUUUUUCUGCGGUAGUGAAACCGGAAUGUACUGGUACCGCUAAUAAGCGUAUUCACGUACAAAAACGAGAAACGUUUAAAACUGGGAAGAAAUUAUUAGCAAAUGAUAUACACGAGGCAUUUCCAAAUUCGCCGGAAAUUACUACCAUUGCGACGAAACUUGUUGCCAAAUUACCAUCUGAAUCGGAGUCUAGCUGUAAGCAAGAAGUGAAUAAGGUCUUGAAUGCUACCACUCAAAUAGUGACUGGAAAAUUGUUCACACUAACGAUGGAAAUCUGUUUCCAGAACUGCGCGGAGCAUAAUACAAACGAAUGUGAAAUAUGCACGAGCAAAGUUUGGCAAAAACCGUGGGAAGGCGGUUUCGAUGUCCGAGAAUUUCAAUGCAACAAUAGUAAUGCUAGAACAACCAAAGUCAAAUCGUUUGAAUUUGACUUAUUUCAUUGAUUUUCAAAAUUAUGUACAUACCUACCUACAUAAAUUGAGUUUUUUAUCAAUACUUUGAUUGGACCACAUUUGGAUCUACAAAAUACGAGUAUGUAUCCGGAUCUAAUUUCCUCGUGCUUACCUAUUUUGAAAAUAACUCAAUAGGAUGGAUUUUUUAAUGUAAACGCGAUGCAAUAAUACGCUGAGUAAACAUGUUUUAUUUGUCUUUUCGUUCACUUACCUAUACCUAUCUGCAUUUUACAAGUUCGCUUGUAAUCUUCAACUUGGGCUACCAAAAAGUGUGUACUUGGAAAUUUCAAAGGAAUGUCAAAUCCCAAGUCAAGAUCAUCGAUUAGAUUUUCAUUCAGAAAAAGCCUAAGGCCCUCUAUAAUCAUUCAGUUUAGUACGCGAAAAAAAAUAAUAAACCAACCGGAUGAAUCUAGUUGGUUUUUAUUUCUAUUACGUCAUAGCGGUGAUUUAUUUUUCUCCAUUUGAACAUUUGAAGCUUGGUACCUACGAAAAAUAAUAAAUUUUCAUUUCAAGAUUUGAGAUACAGUUGGCGUAUGUACAGUGUUGCCAUUUGGUGCAAUUGCGCAUUGAGCAGUGCGUCAAAAAAAUAACAAUCGAAACGAAUGAAAUGAAAAUAAUACAUUACUUAUGCCAUGGUACAUUAUUACUACCCUCCUCUCCGCUUUCGUCUUCUGCGAACAAAUAAGGUGGACGUAAAAUGAAAAUGAUUGCCAUUUUGGCGAGUUUGGUAGUCUUAAUUAAUAUAAUCAUCUUGUAACACCAUCAUCAUAGCUAUAGCCACCUCACUUUACUGGUUACUUAAUCAAAUCUAUAGUGAAAUAACAGCGAGUUUAUUUCGAUCUCAUUCGUAAGUGCUUAGAUCGUGUUAGCUGACAUUUUCGAAAUAUGAAUUUCAUUUUUUUUACUUCGUUGUUGGUGGUUUUCACUGUGAAGGUGAUAGCUCUACCAGAGGUUAUUGAACCAGAAUACGCGAAUGUCCACAGUGCAUCUCUUCAAAAACGAGCAGCUCCGCGUGAAAAAGUUGAAAGUACAGCUGGCUAUAAACGUCCUGCAAAUCCAAAUUCCACUGAGGUAGCAAGUGUAGCCAAAAGAAUUAUGACUAAAUUCAACGCCGACAGAAUUUGGGACUGUAGACAAAAACUGAGAAAAAUCUUCGGUGGAACAACACAAGUGAUAACCGGAUUAAGAACUGAAUUAGAUUUGGAGAUUUGCACUCACGCAUGUAGAGGCGAAAUUGUUGAUUAUGACGAUUGUAAAAAUUGCACGGUUGAAGUUUGGGAAAGAAAGUGGGAAAACUAUUUCGAAGUUAUUAGCUUCGGCUGUAGUGAUGGUGUAUCAAACGUUGUCAGGGUCGAAUGAGUCAGCAAAUAAUCGAAAAAACUGAAAAGUGAAUGAAAUAUUACAAAUAUCAAUAUUUUUCUAUUAAAGCACUAUACUUUCAUUCAAACCAUCAUCAUAAUAUUAAGAUCUGAGAUUUCUUAUUUUUUUUUUUUUAUCAAUAUUAUGAUUUGUAAUUUAAUAAUUUUUUAUAUCUGUGUUCAUUUUUGUAGCGCAAUAAAAUAAAAUCAAUUUUUAUUCGUAUUGCAAGUAAUAUAUCUAUAGACCGACUCGUA